GUUCCGCUAGCUCAGUUGGUUUAGAGCGCCGCCUUGACAGGGCGGAGGUCACUGGUUCGAACGCAUUGCGGAACA
This 75-nucleotide transfer RNA is filed under the name Prevotella sp. Its description in RNAcentral is "tRNA-Val". It matches the Rfam family "tRNA". Rfam says of the family: Transfer RNA (tRNA) molecules are approximately 80 nucleotides in length. Their secondary structure includes four short double-helical elements and three loops (D, anti-codon, and T loops). Further hydrogen bonds mediate the characteristic L-shaped molecular structure. tRNAs have two regions of fundamental functional importance: the anti-codon, which is responsible for specific mRNA codon recognition, and the 3' end, to which the tRNAs corresponding amino acid is attached (by aminoacyl-tRNA synthetases). tRNAs cope with the degeneracy of the genetic code in two manners: having more than one tRNA (with a specific anti-codon) for a particular amino acid; and 'wobble' base-pairing, i.e. permitting non-standard base-pairing at the 3rd anti-codon position. Lineage: Bacteria; Pseudomonadati; Bacteroidota; Bacteroidia; Bacteroidales; Prevotellaceae. The record is from RNAcentral.